This 582-nucleotide ribosomal RNA is filed under the name Danaus chrysippus (African queen). Its description in RNAcentral is "eukaryotic LSU rRNA". It matches the Rfam family "Eukaryotic large subunit ribosomal RNA", at positions 312 to 656 of the family's 3401-position model. Lineage: Eukaryota; Metazoa; Arthropoda; Insecta; Lepidoptera; Nymphalidae. The record is from RNAcentral.
AAGGCUAAUAUUACCGCGAGACCGAUAGCGAACAAGUACCGGUGAAGGGAAAGUUUGAAAAGAACUUUGAAGAGAGAGUUCAAGAGUACGUGAAACCGUUCAGGGGUAAACCUGCGAAACUCGAAUGAACGAACGGAGAGAUUCAUCGUCACUCGGCGGCGUACGGGCGUCGUGCCUCGAUGUUGUGCUUGCAUCACGCAAGUGGUGUAUGGUAUGACACGGGUCGCGUCCGUCGACGUUCACCGAAGGCGUGCACUUCUCUCUUAGUAAUACAUCGCGACCCGUUCGAUGUCGGCAUAAGCGCCGUUCGGGAGUCCAAUCUUCGCGUUCACGCGCGGCGGCUGGACCGUGACGGUGGCCUGCCGGCUAUCGGACGGUAGUACAAAAUCGUACAAUAUACGAAUCGCGCACGCGUCUCAAAACGCGUCCGGCCCGACGCAAGCGUGCACCGCAUAAAGUCUCUGUCCUGCCCGAGUGCGGAUAGGGGCGCGGUGCUGCUGUAUGUUGCUGCCGUGCUGUCUCGGACUGUGCGCGUAUCCGUCUGCGAUGAUUCAUUUUCGGGCACUCGCAGGACCCGUCUUG